GGAAAACGAUCUACGCGAUUUGCUCCGUUAAUUUUUCGAAAAUGACCUUUACAUUUUUGUGCGGAAAAGUAGUCUGUCUGGAGAACUAAUUUUUACUUUGUCGUUUUUUGCUAUUUUUUCAAGCCGUUUUACAAGUUUAGCAUAAAUGCAAGAUAUUUUAAUUUUAAAACUUUCUGACGUUUUCUGUCAACCUAAAGCCAUCACUUUUACAUUCGCCUACUAGCAAUCAAGACUGAAUAUUUUUGAUGUCUUAAAGUGUACAUUUGACGUUUUAAGAACAUUUUGGACUUUUUCUUCAUGGUUUAAUCGGCCUAUCGACUGCAGUGAUGGGCGAAUUGGGUACAGAAAUGUGCAGUUUAGUGAUUGCGGCAUGGAAAAACGGUGGAAACAUUCUCGGCAACGGCAGAUACGAGAUAAACUAGAAGGUGAAGAGCAGCAACUACUUAAUGAUCCUGAAGAAGUUUAUUGCCGACUUCAAUGCGAACUGCGACUACACACUGUGAUGUAGUCAUUUUGCUGUUGACUGUGAUCAAUGUUUAAAAAAUUAAGUUAUUGUCAACAUUUUGCGAUGAACUUAUAUCUAUCGGCGAUAUUUUGGGUUCAUAAUCCAAAUGGCUCGAUUAAACUGUGAUUCAGCUGAAA
Dendroctonus ponderosae (mountain pine beetle) is the source of this 642-nucleotide long non-coding RNA. RefSeq lists it as uncharacterized. The record is from RefSeq and is a predicted model, not a curated record. Lineage: Eukaryota; Metazoa; Arthropoda; Insecta; Coleoptera; Curculionidae. The transcript is spliced from 2 exons.